UAUAAGUGAUGGCGACCGGCGCACGGGUGAGUAACACGUAUCCAACCUGCCGAUAACUCGGGGAUAGCCUUUCGAAAGAAAGAUUAAUACCCGAUGGUAUAAUAAAACCGCAUGGUUUAAUUAUUAAAGAAUUUCGGUUAUCGAUGGGGAUGCGCUCCAUUAGGCAGUUGGUGAGGUAACGGCUCACCAAACCUUCGAUGGAUAGGGGUUCUGAGAGGAAGGUCCCCCACAUUGGAACUGAGACACGGUCCAA
Molecule: ribosomal RNA, 253 nt
Filed under: uncultured bacterium
Lineage: Bacteria
Description: partial 16S ribosomal RNA
Rfam family: Bacterial small subunit ribosomal RNA
Source: RNAcentral